GUGUUGUAGGAAAGAAGAGGGGAUCAGCACUCCUCUUGGAAAGGAUGGAAAAGGCCCUCGGCUCGCUUAGCACGCAGAGGAUAAGGCGUUGCCACCUGCUUCGAGGCUCUAACCAUCGUUUUCA
This is a small nuclear RNA of Choloepus hoffmanni (Hoffmann's two-fingered sloth), 124 nucleotides long. The record is from Ensembl. NCBI's taxonomy places the organism in Eukaryota, Metazoa, Chordata, Mammalia, Pilosa, Megalonychidae.